ACGCCUUUGGCUCAAUUGGAAGAGCACCUGACUCUUAAUCAGGGGGUUAUGGGUUCAAGUCCCAUAAGGCGUA
RNAcentral lists this transfer RNA (73 nucleotides) under Oscillospiraceae bacterium. Its description in RNAcentral is "tRNA-Lys". It matches the Rfam family "tRNA". Rfam says of the family: Transfer RNA (tRNA) molecules are approximately 80 nucleotides in length. Lineage: Bacteria; Bacillati; Bacillota; Clostridia; Eubacteriales; Oscillospiraceae. The record is from RNAcentral.